This 789-nucleotide ribosomal RNA is filed under the name bacterium Ellin6524. RNAcentral's name for it is "bacterial SSU rRNA". It matches the Rfam family "Bacterial small subunit ribosomal RNA", at positions 29 to 831 of the family's 1533-position model. The record is from RNAcentral.
ACGAACGCUGGCGGCGUGCUUAACACAUGCAAGUCGAGCGAGGCCUUCUCUUCGGAGAGGUGCCCUAGCGGCGAACGGGUGAGUAACACGUGGGCAACCUGCCCCUAGCAUUGGGAUAAGCCCGGGAAACCGGGUCUAAUACCGGAUACGACCUCCGAGGGCAUCCUCGAAGGUGGAAAGGGUUACUGGCUAGGGAUGGGCCCGCGGCCUAUCAGCUUGUUGGUGGGGUAACGGCCCACCAAGGCAACGACGGGUAGCCGGCCUGAGAGGGCGACCGGCCACACUGGGACUGAGACACGGCCCAGACUCCUACGGGAGGCAGCAGUGGGGAAUAUUGCACAAUGGGCGAAAGCCUGAUGCAGCGACGCCGCGUGAGGGAUGACGGCCUUCGGGUUGUAAACCUCUUUCAGCUCCGACGAAGCGCAAGUGACGGUAGGAGCAGAAGAAGCACCGGCCAACUACGUGCCAGCAGCCGCGGUAAUACGUAGGGUGCAAGCGUUGUCCGGAAUUAUUGGGCGUAAAGAGCUCGUAGGCGGCUUGUCACGUCGGCUGUGAAAACCUGGGGCUCAACUCCGGGCCUGCAGCCGAUACGGGCAAGCUAGAGUUCGGUAGGGGAGACUGGAAUUCCUGGUGUAGCGGUGAAAUGCGCAGAUAUCAGGAGGAACACCGGUGGCGAAGGCGGGUCUCUGGGCCGAAACUGACGCUGAGGAGCGAAAGCGUGGGGAGCGAACAGGAUUAGAUACCCUGGUAGUCCACGCCGUAAACGUUGGGCGCUAGGUGUGGGCCUCA